Molecule: non-coding RNA, 160 nt
Filed under: uncultured Parendozoicomonas sp.
Lineage: Bacteria; Pseudomonadati; Pseudomonadota; Gammaproteobacteria; Oceanospirillales; Endozoicomonadaceae
Source: RNAcentral
CUCGUGAGAGACUGUGCGAAGGAAGCCCGAGUGCAAAGGUGCGAGCCGACGAACAGAUACUGCAUACAAGGCCAAGUCCUCGGGGCGAGCGGGCCAAUGAUCGCAAAGCCUCAUGGUUCAGGAGAUACGGUAAAUGCAGCGGUUGUGCACUGACAGUUCA